UACGUAGGUGGCAAGCGUUGUCCGGAUUUACUGGGCGUAAAGAGCGCGCAGGCGGUCGUUCAAGUCGCGUGUGAAAGCCCCCGGCUCAACUGGGGAGGGUCACGCGAUACUGAUCGACUCGAAGGCAGGAGAGGGUAGUGGAAUUCCCGGUGUAGUGGUGAAAUGCGUAGAUAUCGGGAGGAACACCAGUGGCGAAGGCGACUCACUAGACACGUAUUGACGCUGAGGUGCGAAAGCGUGGGGAGCAAACAGG
This 253-nucleotide ribosomal RNA is filed under the name uncultured bacterium. Its description in RNAcentral is "partial 16S ribosomal RNA". It matches the Rfam family "Bacterial small subunit ribosomal RNA", at positions 524 to 776 of the family's 1533-position model. The record is from RNAcentral.